Molecule: long non-coding RNA, 456 nt
Filed under: Homo sapiens (human)
Lineage: Eukaryota; Metazoa; Chordata; Mammalia; Primates; Hominidae
Description: non-protein coding lnc-RAB19-2:1
Source: RNAcentral
AUGAAGGUCAUUCUCAGCAAUCACACCAUCAGCAUUCCAGAAAGCAUCAGCCUCACUAGGAAGGGACAUACAGGGAUUGGGAAGGGUCCCAGAAGAACCCUGUGGAGGGAUUUGCAUCACAUCAAUGCUGAACUCUGUCUCCUUAGAAAGGAAAGGAAGAGGCUCCAGGCUGACAAAGGGUGGGAGGUAGGAAGGAACUGGCCACACUGCCUGUAGUCGGGGUGCUCCCCUGGGCUUCUGAUACAUCAUCAGGGUUUGGAUGAGACCAGGCAUUUCUUGUUCAAUAUCUCAAGCCCAGAAAGAUGAGUGAUCAGUUAAUUCUUGAAGGAAACAAUAUUAAGCAUUGUUAUCAAAUUCAGGCUGCCACUUUGAUUCUACAGGUCACAACAAGGACAGCAAAAAAAAUUUUGGAUGGUAUUUAAGUCUCCAAAAAAAGAAAAGUUCCGUAGGCUGAGG